GAUGAACGCUGGCGGCGUGCCUAAUACAUGCAAGUCGAGCGAACAGACGAGGAGCUUGCUCCUCUGACGUUAGCGGCGGACGGGUGAGUAACACGUGGAUAACCUACCUAUAAGACUGGGAUAACUUCGGGAAACCGGAGCUAAUACCGGAUAAUAUAUUGAACCGCAUGGUUCAAUAGUGAAAGACGGUUUUGCUGUCACUUAUAGAUGGAUCCGCGCCGCAUUAGCUAGUUGGUAAGGUAACGGCUUACCAAGGCGACGAUGCGUAUCCGACCUGAGAGGGUGAUCGGCCACACUAGAACUGAGACGCGGUCCAGACGCCUACGGGAGGCAGCAGUAGGGAAUCUUCCGCAAUGGGCGAAAGCCUGACGGAGCAACGCCGCGUGAGUGAUGAAGGUCUUCGGAUCGUAAAACUCUGUUAUUAGGGAAGAACAAAUGUGUAAGUAACUAUGCACGUCUUGACGGUACCUAAUCAGAAAGCCACGGCUAACUACGUG
Molecule: ribosomal RNA, 497 nt
Filed under: uncultured bacterium
Lineage: Bacteria
Description: partial 16S ribosomal RNA
Rfam family: Bacterial small subunit ribosomal RNA
Source: RNAcentral